ACCUGCGGAGGAUCAUUA
Molecule: ribosomal RNA, 18 nt
Filed under: Aspergillus terreus
Lineage: Eukaryota; Fungi; Ascomycota; Eurotiomycetes; Eurotiales; Aspergillaceae
Also listed under: 22 other names
Description: partial 18S ribosomal RNA
Source: RNAcentral